Molecule: long non-coding RNA, 261 nt
Organism: Passer domesticus (house sparrow)
Lineage: Eukaryota; Metazoa; Chordata; Aves; Passeriformes; Passeridae
Exons: 3
Source: RefSeq, a predicted model, not a curated record
GCCAGGAGUGAGGACAUGCACUAGGAAAUACAGCACCAAAGGGGGAAGAAAAAAGCAUGGUAGUGAAAAUUACUCUCCAAGAGGGGCAAGUGGAUGAAAGGACCACGUAGAAAAGCAUGUCUGAAGCAUGGGGAUUGCAGAGUGACCAGAGGAGGGAGAGCCAAAAGCAAAACCUAGGCACAUGAAGAGUGCUUGGGAUGCUGGUGUUGUCCCAUGGGUUUGCCUCAUCACUUCUGUCCUGACAGCAUCCACAGUUUGCAG